This 254-nucleotide ribosomal RNA is filed under the name uncultured bacterium. RNAcentral describes it as "partial 16S ribosomal RNA". It matches the Rfam family "Bacterial small subunit ribosomal RNA", at positions 524 to 777 of the family's 1533-position model. The record is from RNAcentral.
GACGUAGGGUCCGAGCGUUGUCCGGAGUUACUGGGCGUAAAGGGCGCGUAGGCGGUUUUUUGCGUCACACGUGAAAGCCCCUGGCUCAACCAGGGAGGGUCGUGGGAAACGGUGAAACUGGAGGCAGCGAGAGGCUGGUGGAAUUCCCGGAGUAGUGGUGAAAUGCGUAGAGAUCGGGAGGAACACCGGUGGCGAAGGCGGCCAGCUGGCGCUGACCUGACGCUGAGGCGCGAAGGCGUGGGGAGCGAACGGGG